Molecule: ribosomal RNA, 370 nt
Filed under: uncultured eukaryote
Lineage: Eukaryota
Description: partial 18S ribosomal RNA
Rfam family: Eukaryotic small subunit ribosomal RNA
Source: RNAcentral
CAAUAGCGUAUAUUAAAGUUGUUGCAGUUAAAAAGCUCGUAGUUGGAUUUCUGGUCGGAAGCUCCUGUCCUCUGAUGAGCGUACAAGUGCGUCCUACCAUCCUUCUGUUAACCUUUAAGGCUUUCGCGGCUUUCUAGGGGCUCAGAUAUUUUACCUUGAGAAAAUUAGAGUGUUUCAGGCAGGCUAGCGCCGGAAUACAUUAGCAUGGAAUAAUGGAAUAGGACUUUUGCCUCUUCUGUUGGUCAUGUGGCUCGAGUAAUGAUUAAUAGGGAUAGUUGGGGGCAUUAGUACUUAACUGUCAGAGGUGAAAUUCUCGGAUUUGUUAAAGACUAACUUAUGCGAAAGCAUUUGCCAAGGAUGUUUUCAUUAA